Molecule: ribosomal RNA, 253 nt
Filed under: uncultured bacterium
Lineage: Bacteria
Description: partial 16S ribosomal RNA
Rfam family: Bacterial small subunit ribosomal RNA
Source: RNAcentral
UACGGAGGGUGCAAGCGUUAUCCGGAAUCACUGGGUUUAAAGGGUGCGUAGGCUGCUGCAUAAGUCAGAGGUGAAAGUUUGUCGCUUAACGAUAGAAUUGCCUUUGAUACUGUGCGGCUUGAAAUUAGGUGAGGUUGGCGGAAUGUGACAUGUAGCGGUGAAAUGCGUAGAUAUGUCAUAGAACGCCGAUUGCGAAGGCAGCUGGCUAACCUAAAUUUGACGCUGAAGCACGAAAGCGUGGGUAGCAAACAGG